Molecule: ribosomal RNA, 700 nt
Filed under: uncultured Oxalobacteraceae bacterium
Lineage: Bacteria; Pseudomonadati; Pseudomonadota; Betaproteobacteria; Burkholderiales; Oxalobacteraceae
Description: bacterial SSU rRNA
Rfam family: Bacterial small subunit ribosomal RNA
Source: RNAcentral
GUCGAACGGCAGCGCGGGGCAACCUGGCGGCGAGUGGCGAACGGGUGAGUAAUAUAUCGGAACGUACCCUGGAGUGGGGGAUAACGUAGCGAAAGUUACGCUAAUACCGCAUACGAUCUAAGGAUGAAAGUGGGGGAUUCGCAAGAACCUCAUGCUCCUGGAGCGGCCGAUAUCUGAUUAGCUAGUUGGUGGGGUAAAGGCCUACCAAGGCAUCGAUCAGUAGCUGGUCUGAGAGGACGACCAGCCACACUGGAACUGAGACACGGUCCAGACUCCUACGGGAGGCAGCAGUGGGGAAUUUUGGACAAUGGGCGAAAGCCUGAUCCAGCAAUGCCGCGUGAGUGAAGAAGGCCUUCGGGUUGUAAAGCUCUUUUGUCAGGGAAGAAACGGUGAGGGCUAAUAUCCCUUGCUAAUGACGGUACCUGAAGAAUAAGCACCGGCUAACUACGUGCCAGCAGCCGCGGUAAUACGUAGGGUGCAAGCGUUAAUCGGAAUUACUGGGCGUAAAGCGUGCGCAGGCGGUUUUGUAAGUCUGUCGUGAAAUCCCCGGGCUCAACCUGGGAAUUGCGAUGGAGACUGCAAGGCUAGAAUCUGGCAGAGGGGGGUAGAAUUCCACGUGUAGCAGUGAAAUGCGUAGAGAUGUGGAGGAACACCGAUGGCGAAGGCAGCCCCCUGGGUCAAGAUUGACGCUCAUGCACGA